Molecule: long non-coding RNA, 488 nt
Organism: Ipomoea nil (Japanese morning glory)
Lineage: Eukaryota; Viridiplantae; Streptophyta; Magnoliopsida; Solanales; Convolvulaceae
Exons: 2
Source: RefSeq, a predicted model, not a curated record
AAAAAAACAAGAGGAUUGGCUAGAGAGAUAGGGGAAGGAAAAACCUUGAAACUUUGAUCUCCAUCUUCUUCAAGCUUAGAUCUCAAAGCUAUUAGAGUAUUCUAGGUGAGUUUAACCUCUAUAUUUCACUCUUUUUGAGUUGAGUUUAUCAUUGGAGCCCUAAGAUUAAUGUUUGAAUAUAUUAGGGAUUUUGACAAGGAGUAUUUGGGCAAGCUUAAUAGCUAAAAUUUGGAUGUUUUUUAAAGUAGUAAGGACAUGUGAAUAGCAUGAGCAUAAGUGGUGGGGUCUCGAAGGUGACUUUUGAAACUAUGAGACUUAGUCCUAGUGUUGGAGCUUACCAUGGACUUUUGUUUAUUUAGAUAUUCCCUUUGACCUUUGUAUUUUUGUAAAACCAUUGUGCUUGGUUUUGGUGCUUGUGAUGCAUUUUGGACAUAUUACUCUUUGAUUGUAAAUAUUUAAUAGUGAAUUUGAUGAGUUUUUGGGAAGAA